AAAUAAUAGCAAUUUGCAUUUCGAUUUCGGCUCGAAAAGAGGAAUACUUUCCAUUAUUUA
RNAcentral lists this transfer RNA (60 nucleotides) under Theromyzon tessulatum. RNAcentral describes it as "tRNA-Arg". The record is from RNAcentral. Lineage: Eukaryota; Metazoa; Annelida; Clitellata; Rhynchobdellida; Glossiphoniidae.